This 410-nucleotide ribosomal RNA is filed under the name uncultured Nitrososphaerota archaeon. Its description in RNAcentral is "bacterial SSU rRNA". It matches the Rfam family "Archaeal small subunit ribosomal RNA", at positions 451 to 861 of the family's 1478-position model. The record is from RNAcentral. Lineage: Archaea; Thermoproteati; Nitrososphaerota.
UCUGGUGUCAGCCGCCGCGGUAAAACCAGCACCUCAAGUGGUCAGGAUGAUUAUUGGGCCUAAAGCAUCCGUAGCCUGCUUUGUUAGUUUUCGGUUAAAUCCAUACGCUUAACGUAUGGGCUGCCGGGAAUACUGCAAAGCUAGGGAGUGGGAGAGGUAGACGGUACUCGGUAGGAAGGGGUAAAAUCCUUUGAUCUAUUGAUGACCACCUGUGGCGAAGGCGGUCUACCAGAACACGUCCGACGGUGAGGGAUGAAAGCUGGGGGAGCAAACCGGAUUAGAUACCCGGGUAGUCCCAGCUGUAAACUAUGCAAACUCGGUGAUGCAUUGGCUUGAUGCCAAUGCAGUGCCGCAGGGAAGCCGUUAAGUUUGCCGCCUGGGAAGUACGUACGCAAGUAUGAAACUUAAAG